Molecule: ribosomal RNA, 2683 nt
Filed under: Triticum aestivum (bread wheat)
Lineage: Eukaryota; Viridiplantae; Streptophyta; Magnoliopsida; Poales; Poaceae
Description: partial small subunit ribosomal RNA
Source: RNAcentral
GCGGGGAGCGGUGCGAGUGCCUUGGUUGGGGGGGAAAUUUUGGCGAGCCGAGAUAGGGGGAGGGAAAAGACUGGGGGGGUGUGUAGCGCCGACGCCGCUGCUCCGCUGCUCCUUUUUUGAGUGACGUCUAUUCUCUCCCUCCCCGCUCGCUCUCUCUUCCCUCUCCGCCGCGCGGCUCGGUCGGGUGAAGGCGGGCGCCGGUACCGGCCGCGGCUGGGGUUGGCCUCGAAGUACUUCCUGCACUUCGCGUAGUAGUAGUUCCACCCGUGACGUCAAUAGUGGUCUUUACUACCUUCUGACCGAAACCCGUCCUAACCUCGGGACACGCUCGUCCAGUUCCUAGAAUUACGAGUUCCUAUACUCCACUAAUACCAGUGGAGCCCGCGACAACCACACCCCGCUGUCGCCGAGUCCAUGGCGUUCGAGCAGUUAUCGUCGAAACGACUAGACGUCUUCGGUGUCUACCUCGACCUGCCCUUCCGGACGCGACGACAACCAGUCUCACCCGACUACCGUGAGAUACUGUACAACAAAUGGGUUGAACUACACAGUAGUAGUGUUGAAGAGCACUGUCUAUCACUGAAGCUGUUAAGUUUAAAGGCCCUCGCUGAGGCGCUUUGACAGCUCAGUAAUAAUCUCGAAUCUCAAUAAGGUUAUAAAUUACUUUUACUACGGUAGUCAUGCUCCUUCCGAGGUAUGCUCCUAAGUAGACCAUAUAAGACCCUAUUACUGUCAAACCGUCCAGAUGACCGUAACCUUGACUUUCGACUAGAGGAACAAGACGAAUCACUACACCUACCGGAGAUGUCGCCAGGUGGUUCACUUGGAAGUAGCUUCAAUUAUGUAUGAAUAUAGUUCCUUUUUGUAAUAGUACUUUAAUGAAAACCUCUGUUCAGGGCACAACCAUCUCCACCGUACUGUCGAUUUCAGGUUCGACGACACACCCGAAGUUGCCCACCACAUGGACAACAAUAAUGUUCACCUACACGUAGAGUCUCGGAACAAUUUCAAGAGGCACCCCUUUUUUAACCAUGGGAAAAAGUAUUUUUACGUUCAAACACCCUUGGUAGGUUCCUGUGGUCACAGGCACUUUACCGACAACGACGUGCCCUAACAAGUUCCGUAGAUGUCUUAAACAGUAGUCUCCUCGCGUUCUUUUAUAAUAAUCUACAACGCCUACGAAAUCUCCGUUUACUCCUAAAUUAAUCUAGGCUCUUACUUCGUCUAAAUCGUCGUCGUGUACUCCGACCCAUACUCUCACGAAACCAAAGAUCUAACUGAGACUUUGGUCCUUUCUAUCGUUCGGAACGGUUUAGACAAGCGUGAGAACGCUUAUACCUUCUGGGAUAAUUGCUCUAUGACUUUUCCUGUCUCCAACGACUACCAAAUCAAGAACUCUUUUGUAGAACGGGAAACCCACAAGAUAACUAAUAAAAACUCAGGGCUGGACUACGGAAUCAGGUCUAACGCAGAAAUCGGUAAGCUUCACCAUUACCAGAAGAGGAUUUUCCACCUUUUCUUCGUUACUCUAGUUUGCGUUAUAACGUAUUCCAAUAUUGGUUACGAUAAGGACUGUUACAACCACUUUUUAACUAACCGGAAUAAUGUUGAUCUCUACUUUAACGCCUAAACGACUUCGUACUACUACAGUAACUAGAACAGUAAGGUUCUCCCUCAUUAUUCGAACAACGAGUUUAGUUUAGUAGUUGUUUCUAAGGACAAGAACCGGUACGACUACCACAAACAGUACAUAUAUAACUGUUUAGUCGUCUGUACCUAUACCGUUUUGCAUAACACUACCUACGUUUUUAACUAAUGGGUCGACGGACGUUGCGUUACCUCUGCAACGAACAAGUAUUUCUAGAAUACUUCUAAGGUCUUGAAUUACUGUAUGAUCAUCGUGAGUUCUGUCGUCCUCAAUUAGAAAUAACGCCCGGACAACGCGUAUUUCAUAACCCGAUGGGCUUUCGUCUAAGUAAUGUAGACCUCAUGUCAAGAUACCGAACGUGUCAACUCUAUCAACUACUACAUGUUAGUCGUUAACUGGUAUAUGUAGCGAUACCUUCACGUGUAUGUCUGACACACCAGUGAUGUCUACUAUUUCAUCGUCUCUGGAAAGAUGCAGUUCAACUAUCACGACGGCAUAAUAUGUUGCGCUCAUGUUCUAAGAGACUACCACGAGCAAAACCUGAGCCACGACUCCAACCGUAUUCAUGUCCGGCAUAUGUACGUGCACCUGGACACCCACAACUUCCAGAAAAUUGAUGUGCUACCGAGAAUGCUCCCUUUCCCGUUCACCACUUACCACUGUUCCUACAACUUAUGUGGGUAUUCUCAGAAGGAAACGUUACUCUUUUACCACACCAUUCCUAAGGCGCUUUUGGGAGACUUCAUACUCUCAGAGUAGUCUGAUUCCUUUCUUUUGGUCAGCUAGUUAAUUAAACACAUGUUUGGUAGAAUAACACCACCUAGCCACCUAGUUAAACAUACUCGAACCUCCGAAGCCGAGAGGCCACAAUAUUAUUUUUGUUUGGUCGUUAAGAUCCUCACUCUCAUGAUCACACGGCUAUGAUAUUCGUCAUACAAACAACCAGGGCCAUUAGGUCGUCUAACCAGCAAGAACGAUAAUUUCAACACGUAACUCCGGUGGAGCCUGCACGGUAUGAAGUGAGCAUGAGGGCCG